Molecule: ribosomal RNA, 448 nt
Filed under: Lachnoanaerobaculum saburreum
Lineage: Bacteria; Bacillati; Bacillota; Clostridia; Lachnospirales; Lachnospiraceae
Description: bacterial SSU rRNA
Rfam family: Bacterial small subunit ribosomal RNA
Source: RNAcentral
GAUGAACGCUGGCGGCGUGCUUAACACAUGCAAGUCGAACGAAGCUGUUAAAAGGAAGCUUUCGGGUGGAAUUUUAACAGACUUAGUGGCGGACGGGUGAGUAACGCGUGGAUAACCUGCCUUAUACAGGGGGAUAACGGAGAGAAAUUUCCGCUAAGACCGCAUAAGACCACAGCACCGCAUGGUGCAGGGGUAAAAUAUUUAUAGGUAUAAGAUGGAUCCGCGUCCGAUUAGCUGGUUGGUGAGGUAGAGGCUCACCAAGGCGACGAUCGGUAGCCGGCCUGAGAGGGUGAACGGCCACAUUGGGACUGAGACACGGCCCAAACUCCUACGGGAGGCAGCAGUGGGGAAUAUUGGACAAUGGGGGGAACCCUGAUCCAGCGACGCCGCGUGAGUGAAGAAGUAUUUCGGUAUGUAAAGCUCUAUCAGCAGGGAAGAAAAGACGGUA